AUUGAACGCUGGCGGCAUGCUUUACACAUGCAAGUCGAACGGUAACAGGCCUUCGGGUGCUGACGAGUGGCGAACGGGUGAGUAAUGCAUCGGAACGUGCCCAGAGGUGGGGGAUAACGCAGCGAAAGCUGUGCUAAUACCGCAUGUGAUCUGAGGAUGAAAGCGGGGGACCAAGCAGCAAUGUUUGGCCUCGCGCCUCUGGAGCGGCCGAUGUCAGAUUAGGUAGUUGGUGGGGUAAAGGCCUACCAAGCCGACGAUCUGUAGCUGGUCUGAGAGGACGACCAGCCACAUUGGGACUGAGACACGGCCCAGACUCCUACGGGAGGCAGCAGUGGGGAAUUUUGGACAAUGGGCGCAAGCCUGAUCCAGCAAUGCCGCGUGCGGGAAGAAGGCCUUCGGGUUGUAAACCGCUUUUGUACGGAACGAAAAGGCUCUGGCUAAUACCUGGGGCUGAUGACGGUACCGUAAGAAUAAGCACCGGCUAACUACGUG
This 492-nucleotide ribosomal RNA is filed under the name uncultured bacterium. RNAcentral describes it as "partial 16S ribosomal RNA". It matches the Rfam family "Bacterial small subunit ribosomal RNA", at positions 30 to 507 of the family's 1533-position model. The record is from RNAcentral.